GCUGUGAUGAACAAAGCAGAGAUGAUCUUGAGAGAUGAAUCUUUCUCUAAGAAGUUCUGAGCUG
Small nucleolar RNA from Protopterus annectens (West African lungfish), 64 nucleotides. RefSeq annotates it as small nucleolar RNA SNORD61. The record is from RefSeq and is a predicted model, not a curated record. Lineage: Eukaryota; Metazoa; Chordata; Ceratodontiformes; Protopteridae. The transcript has a single exon.